Molecule: ribosomal RNA, 370 nt
Filed under: uncultured bacterium
Lineage: Bacteria
Description: bacterial SSU rRNA
Rfam family: Bacterial small subunit ribosomal RNA
Source: RNAcentral
GUAGGGGCCAAGCGUUGUCCGGAUUUACUGGGCGUAAAGAGCGUGUAGGCGGCUAGACAGGUCUGUUGUGAAAACUGGAGGCUUAACCUCCAGACGUCGCCAGAAACCGUUUGGCUAGAGUCCGGAAGAGGAGAGUGGAAUUCCUGGUGUAGCGGUGAAAUGCGCAGAUAUCAGGAAGACCACCAAUGGCGAAGGCAGCUCUCUGGGACGGUACUGACGCUGAGACGCGAAAGCGUGGGGAGCGAACAGGAUUAGAUACCCUGGUAGUCCACGCCGUAAACGAUGGGUGCUAGGUGUGGAGGUGUCGACUCCUCCCGUGCCGCAGCUAACGCAUUAAGCACCCCGCCUGGGGAGUACGGCCCCAAGGCUA